UACGGGGGGGGCAAGCGUUGUUCGGAAUUACUGGGCGUAAAGGGCUCGUAGGCGGCCAACUAAGUCAGACGUGAAAUCCCUCGGCUUAACCGGGGAACUGCGUCUGAUACUGGAUGGCUUGAGUUUGGGAGAGGGAUGCGGAAUUCCAGGUGUAGCGGUGAAAUGCGUAGAUAUCUGGAGGAACACCGGUGGCGAAGGCGGCAUCCUGGACCAACACUGACGCUGAGGCGCGAAAGCUAGGGGAGCAAACAGG
RNAcentral lists this ribosomal RNA (253 nucleotides) under uncultured bacterium. RNAcentral describes it as "partial 16S ribosomal RNA". It matches the Rfam family "Bacterial small subunit ribosomal RNA", at positions 524 to 776 of the family's 1533-position model. The record is from RNAcentral.